AGUUGUUGAAAGAAGCCCCUGAUCGCCAGGGUUUCUUGUUUAAGGCCCAGUCGUCGGGAACUCGGGCCGACCGGAUUUGAUCCCAGGGCCAGCUUACCCUUGGCAUCGCAGUCCAAUGCGAUACCAAUGCGGCGAGCUACGACUCUAAUAUUUCAAUUUUCUUUUUCGAUAAAAUUCGACUACUGAAACAACUCGUUAAUUAUCACGUCAAACUUGAGGGAAAUUUAUAAGGUCACUUUCUUUUCGAUUGGCAAGUUAUCCGCCAGUGUUCGUCUGCAUAUCUGCCUGUUGCCGUUAACACAAAAACCACAUUUGCGAUGGAAAUGUUUGUUCCAUUUGAAACCAGUUCAGGUAGGUCCUUAAAUACCAGAUUAAUGUUGUAGGAUUUCCCUUUAGUCGAAAAACUUCAACAAAAAAAACAAAUUUUACAAGAACUAUUAGUUAUAUCUAUUUUCUCACAAUGUAUUCUUGUUAUUAAGGGGGGCCAGUUUAGACUUGUAUUAAAAAUUGUUUCUGUUUA
This is a long non-coding RNA of Daphnia magna, 520 nucleotides long. RefSeq lists it as uncharacterized. Lineage: Eukaryota; Metazoa; Arthropoda; Branchiopoda; Diplostraca; Daphniidae. The transcript is spliced from 2 exons. The record is from RefSeq and is a predicted model, not a curated record.